Molecule: ribosomal RNA, 253 nt
Filed under: uncultured bacterium
Lineage: Bacteria
Description: partial 16S ribosomal RNA
Rfam family: Bacterial small subunit ribosomal RNA
Source: RNAcentral
UACGAAGGGGGCUAGCGUUGUUCGGAAUCACUGGGCGUAAAGGGCGCGUAGGCGGCUUUGUAAGUCGGGGGUGAAAGCCUGUGGCUCAACCACAGAAUUGCCUUCGAUACUGCAUGGCUUGAGACCGGAAGAGGUUAGUGGAACUGCGAGUGUAGAGGUGAAAUUCGUAGAUAUUCGCAAGAACACCAGUGGCGAAGGCGGCUAACUGGUCCGGUUCUGACGCUGAGGCGCGAAAGCGUGGGGAGCAAACAGG